Molecule: ribosomal RNA, 506 nt
Filed under: uncultured bacterium
Lineage: Bacteria
Description: bacterial SSU rRNA
Rfam family: Bacterial small subunit ribosomal RNA
Source: RNAcentral
AGAGUUUGAUCCUGGCUCAGGAUGAACGCUGGCGGCGUGCUUAACACAUGCAAGUCGAACGAGGUCCAUCCAAACUUGUUUGGGGAAGACCUAGUGGCGAACGGGUGCAUAACACGUGAGAAACCUGCCUCAGUCUCUGGGAUAACAGUUGGAAACGACUGCUAAUACCGGAUGCCGUCACACCAUCACAUGUUGGAAUGACGAAAGAUUUAUCGGACUGAGAGGGUCUCGCGGCCUAUCAGCUAGUUGGAGAGGUAACGGCUCACCAAGGCAUCGACGGGUAGCUGGUCUGAGAGGAUGAUCAGCCACACUGGGACUGAGACACGGCCCAGACUCCUACGGGAGGCAGCAGUGGGGAAUCUUGCACAAUGGGCGAAAGCCUGAUGCAGCAACGCCGCGUGCGGGAAGAAGGCCCUAGGGUUGUAAACCGCUUUCAGUAGGGAAGAAAAUGACGGUACCUACAGAAGAAGGUGCGGCCAACUACGUGCCAGCAGCCGCGGUAAUUC